UACGGGGGGGGCAAGCGUUGUUCGGAAUUACUGGGCGUAAAGGGCUCGUAGGUGGCCAACUAAGUCAGACGUGAAAUCCCUCAGCUUAACUGGGGAACUGCGUCUGAUACUGGAUGGCUUGAGAUUGGGAGAGGGAUGCGGAAUUCCAGGUGUAGCGGUGAAAUGCGUAGAUAUCAGGAGGAACACCGGUGGCGAAGGCGGGUCUCUGGGCCAAUACUGACGCUGAGGAGCGAAAGCGUGGGGAGCGAACAGG
Molecule: ribosomal RNA, 253 nt
Filed under: uncultured bacterium
Lineage: Bacteria
Description: partial 16S ribosomal RNA
Rfam family: Bacterial small subunit ribosomal RNA
Source: RNAcentral